AUCCUUCACAAACGGCAGCGAGCCCUCACAGCAGGGCUGUCAGCGCCGCGUUUCACCGAGACUCGCUCUAACUUUCCAGCAACAAAGAGGAGACCCGUGGGUGGCUCCGAGCCGCCGCGGCGGCGGCUCCCCGGCUCGGCCCGACAACCCACACAGCCCGGGCCGGUGCAGACGUGGCUUCCUCACACCCCACCCCACCCCACCGGCCUGCGCCACCUUCCCCACCCGCCGCCUCCCCGGGCCCCGUCCCGCCCCAACCCCAAAUUGUGCCCGCCGACCGGGGGCGGCGGCCGGACCCCCGAGAGGGACCGGGCGGGAGAGGCAGCCCCGGGGCUGCCCGCGCCGCGCUCCCGCAGCCCCGGGGCUGAGCCGUGCGGGGCCGCCCGGGCUCCCCAGAGCCGGCACCGGCGGGGGCACGGCCGGGGGGGCCCCGCGGCCGCCAGCAGUCGGGAGGCCUCGCCGCAGGCCUCGCACCUCGGCGCGGCCCUGCUGGCGGGGCGGCAGCCGCCCGGCCCGGCCCGGCCCGGAGGGACCGAGGGGGGAGCCCCCGGGCAGGGGGCAGCGGGGGCUGCGGGCCCCCGGGGGGCGGCGGGGCGCGGGGCCGGCGCGGCUGCCAUUUCUCCUGGCCCUCGGCGCUGUCGGGCGGGAGCGGGGGCGGGAGGAGGAGGAGGAGGAGGAGGAGGAAAAGGGAGGGAGGGGAGAGGGAGGUGGCCGAGCCGGAGUGAAGUGAGGCGCUCAGCUGCCAACACUCACACACUGCCUGCCGCCGCCGCGCUGCUCCCGGACCCCGGGCAAGAGGGGGAGAGGAGGGAAGGCGAGGCAAAGCGAGACGCGGGAGAGGAGGCAGAAGACCCCUGGCAAGGGGAGGUCAGAGAGGAGGGAAGCGCGGAGAGGGGGGAAGGAGCCUCCUCCCCGCCGAGAGACGACUUCCCAUGUAGCGGGGGACAGAGGGAGAAGGCUGGCGCUCAGAAACUGUGCGAGAAGCUUUCCCAGCAAGUUACUUAA
RNAcentral lists this long non-coding RNA (1005 nucleotides) under Anas platyrhynchos platyrhynchos (common mallard). RNAcentral's name for it is "lncRNA (ENSAPLG00000031238.1)". The record is from RNAcentral. Lineage: Eukaryota; Metazoa; Chordata; Aves; Anseriformes; Anatidae.